This 253-nucleotide ribosomal RNA is filed under the name uncultured bacterium. RNAcentral describes it as "partial 16S ribosomal RNA". It matches the Rfam family "Bacterial small subunit ribosomal RNA", at positions 524 to 776 of the family's 1533-position model. The record is from RNAcentral.
UACGUGGGGUGCAAGCGUUAAUCGGAAUUACUGGGCGUAAAGCGUGCGCAGGCGGUUUUGUAAGACAGUGGUGAAAUCCCCGGGCUCAACCUGGGAACUGCCAUUGUGACUGCAAAGCUAGAGUGCGGCAGAGGGGGAUGGAAUUCCGCGUGUAGCAGUGAAAUGCGUAGAUAUGCGGAGGAACACCGAUGGCGAAGGCAAUCCCCUGGGCCUGCACUGACGCUCAUGCACGAAAGCGUGGGGAGCAAACAGG